This 459-nucleotide ribosomal RNA is filed under the name uncultured Geobacteraceae bacterium. Its description in RNAcentral is "partial 16S ribosomal RNA". It matches the Rfam family "Bacterial small subunit ribosomal RNA", at positions 338 to 789 of the family's 1533-position model. Lineage: Bacteria; Pseudomonadati; Thermodesulfobacteriota; Desulfuromonadia; Geobacterales; Geobacteraceae. The record is from RNAcentral.
CCUACGGGAGGCAGCAGUGGGGAAUUUUGCGCAAUGGGGGCAACCCUGACGCAGCAACGCCGCGUGAGUGAUGAAGGCCUUCGGGUCGUAAAGCUCUGUCAGAGGGGAAGAAAUGCAGGUGGUGAACAACCAUUCUGUUUGACGGUACCCUCAAAGGAAGCACCGGCUAACUCCGUGCCAGCAGCCGCGGUAAUACGGAGGGUGCGAGCGUUGUUCGGAAUUAUUGGGCGUAAAGCGCGUGUAGGCGGUUUGUUAAGUCGGAGGUAAAAGCCCCGGGCUCAACCGGGGAAGUGCAUUGGAUACUGGCAGACUUGAGUACGGGAGAGGAGAGUGAAAUUCCCAGUGUAGGAGUAAAAUCCGUAGAUAUUGGGAGGAACACCGGUGGCGAAGGCGGCCUUCGGGGUUUCUCCUGACGCUGAGGGGCGAAAGCCGGGGGAGCGAACCGGAUUAGAUCCCCUG